This 390-nucleotide ribosomal RNA is filed under the name Pseudoalteromonas sp. RNAcentral's name for it is "bacterial SSU rRNA". It matches the Rfam family "Bacterial small subunit ribosomal RNA", at positions 41 to 434 of the family's 1533-position model. Lineage: Bacteria; Pseudomonadati; Pseudomonadota; Gammaproteobacteria; Alteromonadales; Pseudoalteromonadaceae. The record is from RNAcentral.
UGCGCAGCCUACCAUGCAAGUCGAGCGGUAACAGAAAGUAGCUUGCUACUUUGCUGACGAGCGGCGGACGGGUGAGUAAUGCUUGGGAACAUGCCUUGAGGUGGGGGACAACAGUUGGAAACGACUGCUAAUACCGCAUAAUGUCUACGGACCAAAGGGGGCUUCNGCUCUCGCCUUUAGAUUGGCCCAAGUGGGAUUANCUANUUGGUGAGGUAAUGGCUCACCAAGGCGACGAUCCCUAGCUGGUUUGAGAGGAUGAUCAGCCACACUGGGACUGAGACACGGCCCAGACUCCUACNGGAGGCAGCNUUGGGGAAUAUUGCACAAUGGGCGCAAGCCUGAUGCAGCCAUGCCGCGUGUGUGAAGAAUGCCUUCCGGUUGUAAAGCACU